Molecule: small RNA, 28 nt
Filed under: Bombyx mori (domestic silkworm)
Lineage: Eukaryota; Metazoa; Arthropoda; Insecta; Lepidoptera; Bombycidae
Description: ovarian small RNA-32417
Source: RNAcentral
UGAUACUUGUAAAAUAAAGCAUACUUGC